GAUUUCCUCUUUUUUUCAAUUUUCUCUGUUUUUGAAUUAAAUUGCUGAUUUCUUUUUUAUUUUAAAUUUAUUUAUAGGCAAGACGAUACAUUUACAAUGAUGUUCUUAAAUUGUCUGAUGAAAAACUCAUGGAUUGCUCUGGUAUUCAAGUGGAGCAUAUAAUAUCUACACAAGGGAGCUUAUUGAAGGUGGAGCAUAUAAUAUCAAACCACAAAUGUUGGGAUAAAACUUGUUUUAUUAAAUUAUGAUUUGUUUUUGCUCUUUUAUUAGUCUUAGUCUUAAGAUGUAAAAUUGCGACAUUAUGAGCAAGUUGAUAUAUUUUGAAGUGAUAAUGAAUAUAUUUUUGCUUAUUGUA
This is a long non-coding RNA of Chenopodium quinoa (quinoa), 355 nucleotides long. RefSeq lists it as uncharacterized. The record is from RefSeq and is a predicted model, not a curated record. The transcript is spliced from 2 exons. Lineage: Eukaryota; Viridiplantae; Streptophyta; Magnoliopsida; Caryophyllales; Amaranthaceae.